This 460-nucleotide ribosomal RNA is filed under the name uncultured bacterium. Its description in RNAcentral is "partial 16S ribosomal RNA". It matches the Rfam family "Bacterial small subunit ribosomal RNA", at positions 338 to 795 of the family's 1533-position model. The record is from RNAcentral.
CCUACGGGUGGCAACAGUGAGGAAUAUUGGUCAAUGGGCGUAAGCCUGAACCAGCCAAGCCGCGUGAGGGAUGAAGGCUCUAUGGAUCGUAAACCUCUUUUAUAAGGGAAUAAAGUGCGGGACGUGUCCCGUAUUGUAUGUACCUUAUGAAUAAGGAUCGGCUAACUCCGUGCCAGCAGCCGCGGUAAUACGGAGGAUCCGAGCGUUAUCCGGAUUUAUUGGGUUUAAAGGGUGGGUAGGCGGGUUGUUAAGUCAGCGGUGAAAGUCCGGGGCUCAACCAUAGCAGUGCCGUUGAAACUGGGAGGCUUGAGUAGGUUUGAGGCAGGCGGAAUGCGUGGUGUAGCGGUGAAAUGCUUAGAUAUCACGCAGAACCCCGAUUGCGAAGGCAGCCUGCCAGGCCAUGACUGACGCUGAUGCACGAAAGCGUGGGGAUCAAACAGGAUUAGAUACCCCUGUAGUC